This 91-nucleotide transfer RNA is filed under the name Geobacter sp. Its description in RNAcentral is "tRNA-Ser". It matches the Rfam family "tRNA". From Rfam's summary of the family: Transfer RNA (tRNA) molecules are approximately 80 nucleotides in length. RNAcentral also lists the same sequence under 21 other names. Lineage: Bacteria; Pseudomonadati; Thermodesulfobacteriota; Desulfuromonadia; Geobacterales; Geobacteraceae. The record is from RNAcentral.
GGAGAGAUGUCCGAGUGGUUGAAGGAGCACGCCUGGAAAGCGUGUGUACGUUAAUAGCGUACCGAGGGUUCGAAUCCCUCUCUCUCCGCCA